AUUGAACGCUGGCGGCAUGCCUUACACAUGCAAGUCGAACGGUAGAGGGGCAACCCUCGAGAGUGGCGAACGGGUGAGUAAUGCAUCGGAACGUGCCCAGUAGUGGGGGAUAGCCCGGCGAAAGCCGGAUUAAUACCGCAUACGACCUCAGGGUGAAAGCGGGGGACCCGCAAGAGCCUCGCGCUAUUGGAGCGGCCGAUGUCAGAUUAGGUAGUUGGUGGGGUAAAGGCCCACCAAGCCGACGAUCUGUAGCUGGUCUGAGAGGACGACCAGCCACACUGGGACUGAGACACGGCCCAGACUCCUACGGGAGGCAGCAGUGGGGAAUUUUGGACAAUGGACGAAAGUCUGAUCCAGCCAUGCCGCGUGCGGGAAGAAGGCCUUCGGGUUGUAAACCGCUUUUGUCAGGGAAGAAAUCUUCUGGGCUAAUACCCCGGGAGGAUGACGGUACCUGAAGAAUAAGCACCGGCUAACUACGUGCCAGCAGCCGCAGUAA
This 496-nucleotide ribosomal RNA is filed under the name uncultured bacterium. RNAcentral's name for it is "partial 16S ribosomal RNA". It matches the Rfam family "Bacterial small subunit ribosomal RNA", at positions 29 to 523 of the family's 1533-position model. The record is from RNAcentral.